RNAcentral lists this ribosomal RNA (727 nucleotides) under uncultured Lactobacillus sp. RNAcentral describes it as "bacterial SSU rRNA". It matches the Rfam family "Bacterial small subunit ribosomal RNA", at positions 10 to 702 of the family's 1533-position model. The record is from RNAcentral. Lineage: Bacteria; Bacillati; Bacillota; Bacilli; Lactobacillales; Lactobacillaceae.
AGUUUGAUCCUGGCUCAGGACGAACGCUGGCGGCGUGCCUAAUACAUGCAAGUCGAACGAACUCUGGUAUUGAUUGGUGCUUGCAUCAUGAUUUACAUUUGAGUGAGUGGCGAACUGGUGAGUAACACGUGGGAAACCUGCCCAGAAGCGGGGGAUAACACCUGGAAACAGAUGCUAAUACCGCAUAACAACUUGGACCGCAUGGCCCGAGCUUGAAAGAUGGCUUUGGCUAUCACUUUUGGAUGGUCCCGCGGCGUAUUAGCUAGAUGGUGGGGUAACGGCUCACCAUGGCAAUGAUACGUAGCCGACCUGAGAGGGUAAUCGGCCACAUUGGGACUGAGACACGGCCCAAACUCCUACGGGAGGCAGCAGUAGGGAAUCUUCCACAAUGGACGAAAGUCUGAUGGAGCAACGCCGCGUGAGUGAAGAAGGGUUUCGGCUCGUAAAACUCUGCUGUUAAAGAAGAACAUAUCUGAAAGUAACUGUUCAGGUAUUGACGGUAUUUAACCAGAAAGCCACGGCUAACUACGUGCCAGCAGCCGCGGUAAUACGUAGGUGGCAAGCGUUGUCCGGAUUUAUUGGGCGUAAAGCGAGCGCAGGCGGUUUUUUAAGUCUGAUGUGAAAGCCUUCGGCUCAACCGAAGAAGUGCAUCGGAAACUGGGAAACUUGAGUGCAGAAGAGGACAGUGGAACUCCAUGUGUAGCGGUGAAAUGCGUAGAUAUAUGGA